This 423-nucleotide ribosomal RNA is filed under the name uncultured bacterium. RNAcentral describes it as "bacterial SSU rRNA". It matches the Rfam family "Bacterial small subunit ribosomal RNA", at positions 358 to 772 of the family's 1533-position model. The record is from RNAcentral.
GGAAUCUUCCGCAAUGGACGAAAGUCUGACGGAGCGACGCCGCGUGAGCGAAGAAGGCCUUCGGGUCGUAAAGCUCUGUUGUGAGGGACGAAGGAGCGCCGUUUGAAUAAGGCGGCGCGGUGACGGUACCUAACCAGACAGCCACGGCUAACUACGUGCCAGCAGCCGCGGUAAUACGUAGGUGGCAAGCGUUAUCCGGAAUUAUUGGGCGUAAAGCGCGCGCAGGCGGUCCUUUAAGUCUGAUGUGAAAGCCCACGGCUCAACCGUGGAGGGUCAUUGGAAACUGGGGGACUUGAGUGCAGAAGAGAAGAGCGGAAUUCCACGUGUAGCGGUGAAAUGCGUAGAGAUGUGGAGGAACACCAGUGGCGAAGGCGGCUCUUUGGUCUGUAACUGACGCUGAGGCGCGAAAGCGUGGGGAGCGAA